Long non-coding RNA from Corapipo altera (White-ruffed manakin), 1098 nucleotides. RefSeq lists it as uncharacterized. NCBI's taxonomy places the organism in Eukaryota, Metazoa, Chordata, Aves, Passeriformes, Pipridae. The record is from RefSeq and is a predicted model, not a curated record. The transcript is spliced from 3 exons.
GAAGGAAAGAACAGGAAGGGAGCACACACAGCACUAUCAAGUGGAGAAUUUUCUGACACAUUUUCAGCCUCUCAUAGAAGUGCUGGUUGGAAGGGACCUCUCAAGCUCGUCCAGUCCAGCUGCCUCCUUAAAGCAGGACUGUUACUGAUACUAUGUUAGGUUGCUUAUGGCUUUCUUCAGUCAAGCCUCAAAGUCUGUACAAGAUGGAGACCCCAUGGUGUGAGCCAUGCCAUGGACUGUUUUAGCAGCAAAGGAACAUUAAUUCCUGGCCAAAGCAGAGAUGCGAUUAAACUGGGCCCACCUACCACAUGAGUGUGCAUGCAAAUGGAAGAGAAUGAUGUCUGGCCUCAAGAAAAGGGAACACGGCAGCUGAUUUCUUCCAGGAAGUCCUGUCAAGGGUGUGUCAGUUGGCAAGAAGGAAAACUUGAGCAUGGAGGACGCACGGUGCUGUGGAAGGAAAAUUCUCCAUCUGCAUGUCUGAGAAGCUGCAUCAGUGAUGGGAGAGAAAUGAAACUGCUUUAUUCAUGGGACACACUCCUACAUGGGGAGAUACCCCUGUGAAGACAGCACUGCAUCCCAUGACUUCCUUCAUAAAUUACAAGAUACGCUUUAAGCUCCUUAUGGAAUUGAUCAGUUAAUUAAUCAGUUUAUCUGCCUCUGCCCUAGAUUUAAAUUUAAAUCUUUGUCGCAAUUCCAUUCAAAUCUCUUAAGCUCUGCUGAAAAAAUCAGUAAGCAGAAAGACUGGUAGCCUGUAAAUUACUUCUCAUGCAAUAAGGUCCAUUUGGGUUAUUGAACUUUUUGUGUUAUUUGGAGAUGCUCUUGCACCUGCAGAGGCUAAAUCCAUUCUUGAUUACUGUAACAAUUGUGCAAGUGAAGGAAUUGGGUAAUCUCGUAGUGAUGCAAACUAUGUAGUUUUCUAUGAAGGCAUUAGCAAAGAGUUGCAGGCAUUCAGAAUUAAUUCCAAUAAUGAGCUGGGAUUUAAAAUCUAAAUACUUGGUUUUCUAGCUGCAUUGCAAAUUCAUCCCCAGAAUCCACUCUGUAUUACUCAUCACCUUUUGCACUCUUUAACAAUGAUAAUGGAUUUUUUAAUACACGCAG